RNAcentral lists this ribosomal RNA (342 nucleotides) under Triticum aestivum (bread wheat). RNAcentral describes it as "partial small subunit ribosomal RNA". Lineage: Eukaryota; Viridiplantae; Streptophyta; Magnoliopsida; Poales; Poaceae. The record is from RNAcentral.
AUGGCGAGCAGUAUCCAGAGGGCGUCGUUCCUGCUCCAGGUCGUCCGGAGCUCGUCCCGCUCCCGCAAGAGGGAGGGCGUCUUCUCCGAGGCCGCGCCGUGGCAGCAGCCUAUCUCCGGCUCCGGCAGGGCGCCCCAGCCGCGGCCGCCGGCGAAGCUGGACACCAUCGUCGAGGAAGAUUACAACUCAACCCUCAUGACACACGACGCCGGCUUCCAGGGCGGGGUUUCGUCGGCGGCAGCGUCAACGUCGGCUUCAGCGCCGUCAUCCUCGUCCAUGGCCGCGGCCGGGGUCCCCAGAGCCUACCGUUUCGCCGCGCCGGCGCCGCAGACGCGUUGUUGA